Molecule: long non-coding RNA, 2405 nt
Organism: Girardinichthys multiradiatus
Lineage: Eukaryota; Metazoa; Chordata; Actinopteri; Cyprinodontiformes; Goodeidae
Exons: 3
Source: RefSeq, a predicted model, not a curated record
GUAUAAAACCCCCACCAUUCCAAUGGUCCGAUCUCUUCUACGCGGGUCACACAGGGACCUGGACAACAGGCAUAACUCUUCAACUGGAUCCGAGAGUGUCAUACGAUCACGCGAUCAUAUGCACUACUUAAGUAUGAAUGAAUCACUGUUGUGUAUCCGGUAUUCAUUCAUAAAAAGGGGUAAUUAAGGUAUAAGCAUGGCUUGACUCUCUCUCUGAGGCCUGCAGAAGCAAACGGUGCUCCAGAGAAGCCCCUGCAGAGACGCUGUCUCUACGAAGCCGAGUGAAGCGGUUUCCCCUGUCUGGAAAGACGACAACAGGACCCGCAUCACCAUGAUUCAGGAGGGGCUGGUGCCGAACUGCAGCAGCCAUUGAGCAGGAGACAGGGUAGAAACUGCACAGUUCGCCAGUCAAUCAGAGGGCAACACAGAGACACAUUGGACAAACAACCAUACAGACAUUCACUCCUCAGGACAGAAGGAACUGACCCUUCAGACAGACUGAGUCUCUCGGCUAAUCCUCCUUCAUACUGGUUGAGGUUGCUGAAACACUUCUCCCCGAAGUGCUUCGCGCAAACAAGGAGAACUUUCGCCACUGAUGUCGGCACGUUUCCAUGAAAAAUAAAAUGUAACCAGGCACUCCGAAGAGGUUCUCAUCCUGGGGGACGGUGUAAUGACUGGUGUGGGUUAAUACACCCGACAACAGAACAUUUAGAUUUUUCCACUUGCUGCUUUGGCAUCUUUCAACUUGAACUACAAGAAUGCUGCAAGAAAAAAAUGACGGAUUCGCUGGAUUGGUUAGUCGGAAGUCAAUGACCAUCUUUAGAAGUUCCACAGGAAAUACUGUGAUGUUAUAGGGAAAAUGGAAAAAUCUGAACAGACUGACCAAAUAUGAUAGAAAAAGCAUCUAAAUACUGUAUAUCAUCUGUAUAUCUGGAGUGACUAAAUUUAAAUUUUCUAGACUUUCAGACACUCCCAAUACACAAAAAAUGUGUUUAAGAGCUAAAAAAGUGGAUUUUGCAUGAUAAUUGCUCUUUAAGAAAUACGGUCAGUUUGAUGCAGUUACAAUGUUUUUCUGCCAACAUGUAUAAAAGCAAACCAACCCAAGAAGUUUUCUCUGGAAAAAAAAAGGUAUUUUACCAGUGAUAUAGACACUUUUUUAUUAGUAAGAAAUUGCUCCAAAUUACCGGUAACUCCUCUAAAUCUUUCCAUUUCAAAGAUUUUUUAUGGCAGGGAAACAACAAUGCUCUGUUCUACUGUUGUAGUAGAGGUGGGCCAAGCACAUACCACCCCAACAUGUGCAGAUCAAAUGAGCAACGUCUACACUUUUAGCAUGAUGUCAUGGAACUUUCUACUUUAGACAGUAGUUUAUACGAAGAUAAAAAAGUGGUUUAAAAACUUCCAGCAGAUGUCAAACUCAAACCAUCAGACUGACAAACUGUUACUACUUUUACUGUAAUAACUUUUAAUCUGAUAUUUAAAGAAAAAGUAUUCAUCUCCCUGUGUUCUUGUGUAUUUAUUGACUGUAAAUCAGUGUCACUGGUCCAUGUUAACACAUCCUCCUGAACUUUCUGGUUCUCCUCUUCUGUAGAUAGCGUAAGUAUUAGUAACAGAUAAAUACGGGUUUCUCUUCUCGUCACAAACCUUCCUGACCUACAGGAGUUGAAUCAUCCAUGUUUAGUCUCAGAGGAGCUGUUUUUCUCAUUAAAAUCUGUUUGUUGCUCUCUGGUGGGAGGUUAUUGCAGACAGAUUGUGCAUAGACUGCUUUUUCUUUGCUGUCUUUGUUAUUAGGUGUUCCUCCAUCUGGACCUCCCACAUUAAUAGCCUUUAUUAAUGUUUAAUAGUGGGAUUACUCUGGGAAUCUUUAUUUGGCUUGGUUUCGCCUCAAAAUGAAACUGGACUGCAAUUUAUUUGCUUGUGUUUGUGGUGAACUUUGAUGUCCUGAAAUGUCCUUUAAACCUGUCGGUUUUUUAAAAGAUUUCAGCUCUGAAUGUAGCCAGGAAGAUACUACAGAGGUGGCUGAGAAGAGAUGAAAACAUUGUCUCUAGAAACAAAUUAGAAGGAACCUCAAAGGGCAAAUUUCAUAAUUGUUUACGCAUUUUCUGUUAUACUUACAGUUAUGUUUAUCUCUAGUUUGAAAAUAUGAGAAAAAGUGCAAGAAUAAAAUUUUAAAAAUAAUGUGCUUUCUUUCUGUUAUUUGCAUGGUUUUUCCAUUUUGUUGCUGUUUUUAUGCACUAACAUACAUGCAUAAUUUGUACAUAUUUCAAAUUAUCCUACUCAGUUGCACAUUUCUUCGAAUCUGAGUAUGAAGCUUUUUAAAAACAGCACAGUACUUAGAUUUGCCUUUCUCUUUGUGGCUGGUACACCUGAAUUUUCCCACUGAGGAACAAUAAAGGUUAUUUCUAUUG